GUUUUUGUCUUUUCUC
Molecule: small RNA, 16 nt
Filed under: Arabidopsis thaliana (thale cress)
Lineage: Eukaryota; Viridiplantae; Streptophyta; Magnoliopsida; Brassicales; Brassicaceae
Description: ATSL297310
Source: RNAcentral